RNAcentral lists this ribosomal RNA (760 nucleotides) under uncultured bacterium. Its description in RNAcentral is "bacterial SSU rRNA". It matches the Rfam family "Bacterial small subunit ribosomal RNA", at positions 666 to 1422 of the family's 1533-position model. The record is from RNAcentral.
AUUUCUGGUGUAGGGGUAAAAUCCGUAGAGAUCAGAAGGAAUACCGAUUGCGAAGGCGAUCUACUGGAACAUUACUGACGCUGAGAUGCGAAAGCGUGGGGAGCAAACAGGAUUAGAUACCCUGGUAGUCCACGCCCUAAACGAUGCACACUAGUUGUUGCUAUGCUAGACAUAGCAGUAAUGCAGUUAACACAGUAAGUGUGCCGCCUGGGGAGUACGGUCGCAAGAUUAAAACUCAAAGGAAUAGACGGGGACCCGCACAAGCGGUGGAGCAUGUGGUUUAAUUCGACGAUACGCGAAGAACCUUACCUGGCCUUGACAUAGAAAGAACUUUCCAGAGACGGAUUGGUGCUAGUUUACUAGAGCUUUCAUACAGGUGCUGCACGGCUGUCGUCAGCUCGUGUCGUGAGAUGUUGGGUUAAGUCCCGCAACGAGCGCAACCCUCGUGUUUAGUUACUAACAGUUCGGCUGAGGACUCUAAACAGACUGCCUGGGUAACCAGGAGGAAGGUGAGGACGACGUCAAGUCAUCAUGGCCCUUACGGCCAGGGCUACACACGUGCUACAAUGGGGUAUACAAAGAGCUGCAAUACGGUGACGUGGAGCAAAUCUCAUAAAAUAUCUCCCAGUUCGGAUUGAAGUCUGCAACUCGACUUCAUGAAGUUGGAAUCGCUAGUAAUCGUAGAUCAGCAAUGCUACGGUGAAUACGUUCCCGGGUCUUGUACUCACCGCCCGUCACACCAUGGGAAUUGAAUUCAUUC